This 116-nucleotide non-coding RNA is filed under the name Amborella trichopoda. The record is from RNAcentral. Lineage: Eukaryota; Viridiplantae; Streptophyta; Magnoliopsida; Amborellales; Amborellaceae.
UCAAGUCAGGAGUUGGUCGGAUUUGUCUAGCCGAAAGGCUUGGUGGACUCGAUCCUAUGGUGGAGGGAAACAUGUGAGGCUGGCUUCACAGAACAAGGACUCAACCAGUGAUUGAA